This 896-nucleotide ribosomal RNA is filed under the name Ligilactobacillus pobuzihii. RNAcentral's name for it is "bacterial SSU rRNA". It matches the Rfam family "Bacterial small subunit ribosomal RNA", at positions 28 to 890 of the family's 1533-position model. Lineage: Bacteria; Bacillati; Bacillota; Bacilli; Lactobacillales; Lactobacillaceae. The record is from RNAcentral.
GACGAACGCUGGCGGCGUGCCUAAUACAUGCAAGUCGAACGCAAUCUUUUAACAAUGAGUGCUUGCACUCAGCGUUUUAAGUGCGAGUGGCGAACGGGUGAGUAACACGUGGGCAAUCUGCCCNAAAGUGGGGGAUAACACUUGGAAACAGGUGCUAAUACCGCAUCAACCGACUGACCGCCUGGUCGGUCGGGCAAAGACGGCGUCAGCUGUCGCUUUUGGAUGAGCCCGCGGCGUAUUAACUAGUUGGUAAGGUAACGGCUUACCAAGGUGAUGAUACGUAGCCGAACUGAGAGGUUGAUCGGCCACAUUGGGACUGAGACACGGCCCAAACUCCUACGGGAGGCAGCAGUAGGGAAUCUUCCACAAUGGACGCAAGUCUGAUGGAGCAACGCCGCGUGUAUGAAGAAGGUCUUCGGAUCGUAAAAUACUGUUGUCAGAGAAGAACACGGGAUAAAGUAACUAUUGUKCCGCUGACGGUAUCUGACCAGCAAGUCACGGCUAACUACGUGCCAGCAGCCGCGGUAAUACGUAGGUGGCAAGCGUUGUCCGGAUUUAUUGGGCGUAAAGGGAACGCAGGCGGUCUUUUAAGUCUGAUGUGAAAGCCUUCGGCUUAACCGGAGAAGUGCAUUGGAAACUGGGAGACUUGAGUGCAGAAGAGGAGAGUGGAACUCCAUGUGUAGCGGUGAAAUGCGUAGAUAUAUGGAAGAACACCAGUGGCGAAAGCGGCUCUCUGGUCUGUAACUGACGCUGAGGUUCGAAAGCGUGGGGAGCGAACAGGAUUAGAUACCCUGGUAGUCCNCGCUGUAAACGAUGAAUGCUAGGUGUUGGAGGGUUUCCGCCCUUCGGUGCCGCAGUUAACGCACUAAGCAUUCCGCCUGGGGAGUACGAUCGCA